This is a non-coding RNA of Ictidomys tridecemlineatus (thirteen-lined ground squirrel), 73 nucleotides long. NCBI's taxonomy places the organism in Eukaryota, Metazoa, Chordata, Mammalia, Rodentia, Sciuridae. The record is from Rfam.
GGAGGUAUAGCUCAGUUGGUACAGUGGGUGUCUGGCAUACACAAGGUCCUGUGUUCAAUUCCCAGUACCACCA